GUGCUCGCUUCGGCAACACAUAUACUAAAAUCAGAACGAUACAGAGAAGAUUAGCAUGGCCCCUGUGCAAGGAUGACAUGCAAAUUUGCGAAAUGUCCCAUAUUAAA
Myotis lucifugus (little brown bat) is the source of this 107-nucleotide small nuclear RNA. NCBI's taxonomy places the organism in Eukaryota, Metazoa, Chordata, Mammalia, Chiroptera, Vespertilionidae. The record is from Ensembl.